CCCGCCCCCAAGGGCCCUUGGUUCCCGCGGUGCCCUCGGGCCCCGGAGGCGGCGUCUUCUCCCCUCCGGUUUGGGAUGAAUUUUCUCCCGUUUCCCCAGGAGACAGUGACUGCCUUGGGAGACAUAUCGAUCCCAAGCUUCUCGGGACUCCACUUUCCUCCAUAUUGGCCGUUCCCUGGCGGGGUUAACCUUCCUCCCCGCCCCCAGCGUGUUUCAGGGCUGGCAGGGAAGGUUCCCGCCGCGCUGAGUCUAGGGCACAGGGUCAUGGAAGGCGGGAAACCAGGAAACUCCACUCCUUACUUCACAGUCCUGCCAGCUGCCUCACAGUGCGAGGCAAAAAUGGAGGAACACUGAAGAAAUGAAAGUCAGAAGAACUUCCAGGAAUCGCGCACUUCGCCCUCAAACAUUGGUGGGCACUAGAAUAAGCCUUUCCUGCCCCAGCCCCUCAGCUGAAUCUCUAAGGGUGAGGCCCAGAUUUUUAAAACAGCCCUUUCGGGUGUACUUUGGCCUCAAAGUUGGUAAAAUAGCCUGGCUUGAGUUUAAAAGCCUGCUCCCCUUGGGACCUAAACCGGAGAUUCUUCAUCUGCAACCAACAGAGAAUGCUCUAGAGGGCUGUUCGCCUAUGCUGAUUCGCUGAACUGAACAGGGAGCAGAAACCCCAGGGCACACUCCAUGUAAGACCAGAUGCUGGAACGAUCAGACACAGGACCCAAGCCCUUUGGAGCCUCCAUUUAUCGACUAUCAAAGGAGGAUGCGUUGUGAAGAAGCACGAACGGGAGGGAGUGUGAACUCUGCCUGUUAGCUGAUUCACUCAACCACCCUCUACCGCUCCCACCCCUGGGCUUGGUGCUGGGACAGCGAUGACGGGGAGAGGGUCCUGCCUCACAGGACUACAACAGCCAAAGGGCUGUGGGUGCAAGGGGGACAGGGCAGGUGUUCUGCCUCUUUAGGGGAGGCCUUGAAGGGGAAGGUGGAGCCCUGAAGCAUGAGUCUGCAGAAGUAGCAAUCAUUCAAUAAAUACAUGCUGAUU
Homo sapiens (human) is the source of this 1030-nucleotide long non-coding RNA. NCBI's taxonomy places the organism in Eukaryota, Metazoa, Chordata, Mammalia, Primates, Hominidae. The record is from Ensembl.